GUACUCGCUUCGACGGUACAUAUAUACUAAAAUUGGAACGAUACAGAGAAUAUUAGCAUGGCCCCUGCGCAAGGAUGACACGCAAAAUCCUAAAGCGUUCCACAUACCG
Sitophilus oryzae (rice weevil) is the source of this 109-nucleotide small nuclear RNA. The record is from RefSeq and is a predicted model, not a curated record. NCBI's taxonomy places the organism in Eukaryota, Metazoa, Arthropoda, Insecta, Coleoptera, Curculionidae.